AUACCGGAUAAUAAAAAGAACUGCAUGGUUCUUUUUUGAAAGAUGGUUUCGGCUAUCACUUACAGAUGGGCCCGCGGCGCAUUAGCUAGUUGGUGGGGUAACGGCUCACCAAGGCGACGAUGCGUAGCCGACCUGAGAGGGUGAUCGGCCACACUGGGACUGAGACACGGCCCAGACUCCUACGGGAGGCAGCAGUAGGGAAUCUUCCGCAAUGGACGAAAGUCUGACGGAGCAACGCCGCGUGAGUGAUGAAGGUUUUCGGAUCGUAAAACUCUGUUGUUAGGGAAGAACAAGUGCCGUUCGAAAGGGCGGCACCUUGACGGUACCUAACGAGAAAGCCACGGCUAACUACGUGCCAGCAGCCGCGGUAAUACGUAGGUGGCAAGCGUUGUCCGGAAUUAUUGGGCGUAAAGCGCGCGCAGGCGGUCUCUUAAGUCUGAUGUGAAAGCCCCCGGCUCAACCGGGGAGGGUCAUUGGAAACUGGGAGACUUGAGUACAGAAGAGGAGAGUGGAAUUCCACGUGUAGCGGUGAAAUGCGUAGAGAUGUGGAGGAACACCAGUGGCGAAGGCGACUCUCUGGUCUGUAACUGACGCUGAGGCGCGAAAGCGUGGGGAGCAAACAGGAUUAGAUACCCUGGUAGUCCACGCCGUAAACGAUGAGUGCUAGGUGUUAGGGGUUUCGACGCCCUUAGUGCCGAAGUUAACACAUUAAGCACUCCGCCUGGGGAGUACGACCGCAAGGUUGAAACUCAAAGGAAUUGACGGGGGCCCGCACAAGCAGUGGAGCAUGUGGUUUAAUUCGAAGCAACGCGAAGAACCUUACCAGGUCUUGACAUCCUUUGACCACCCUAGAGAUAGGGCUUUCCCCUUCGGGGGACAAAGUGACAGGUGGUGCAUGGUUGUCGUCAGCUCGUGUCGUGAGAUGUUGGGUUAAGUCCCGCAACGAGCGCAACCCUUGACCUUAGUUGCCAGCAUUCAG
RNAcentral lists this ribosomal RNA (979 nucleotides) under Halalkalibacterium halodurans. RNAcentral describes it as "bacterial SSU rRNA". It matches the Rfam family "Bacterial small subunit ribosomal RNA", at positions 166 to 1128 of the family's 1533-position model. The record is from RNAcentral. Lineage: Bacteria; Bacillati; Bacillota; Bacilli; Caryophanales; Bacillaceae.